GCACAAGCGGUGGAGCAUGUGGUUUAAUUCGAUGCAACGCGAAGAACCUUACCUACUCUUGACAUCCAGAGAACUUUCCAGAGAUGGAUUGGUGCCUUCGGGAACUCUGUGACAGGUGCUGCAUGGCUGUCGUCAGCUCGUGUUGUGAAAUGUUGGGUUAAGUCCCGCAACGAGCGCAACCCUUAUCCUUUGUUGCCAGCGGUUCGGCCGGGAACUCAAAGGAGACUGCCAGUGAUAAACUGGAGGAAGGUGGGGAUGACGUCAAGUCAUCAUGGCCCUUACGAGUAGGGCUACACACGUGCUACAAUGGCGCAUACAAAGAGAAGCGACCUCGCGAGAGCAAGCGGACCUCAUAAAGUGCGUCGUAGUCCGGAUUGGAGUCUGCAACUCGACUCCAUGAAGUCGGAAUCGCUAGUAAUCGUAGAUCAGAAUACUACGGUGAAUACGUUCCCGGGCCUUGUACACACCGCCCGUCACACCAUGGGAGUGGGUUGCAAAAGAAGUAGGUAGCUUAACCUUCGGGAGGGCGCUUACCACUUUGUGAUUCAUGACUGGGGUG
Molecule: ribosomal RNA, 559 nt
Filed under: uncultured Gammaproteobacteria bacterium
Lineage: Bacteria; Pseudomonadati; Pseudomonadota; Gammaproteobacteria
Description: bacterial SSU rRNA
Rfam family: Bacterial small subunit ribosomal RNA
Source: RNAcentral